CAUGGAGGAAACUCUGAUGCUUCAGAUGCCGCGUGAGUGAAGAAGCCUUUGGGUUGUAAAGCUCUUUUGUAGGGGAAGAUAAUGACUGUACCCUAAGAAUAAGGUCCGGCUAACUUCGUGCCAGCAGCCGCGGUAAUACGAAGGGACCUAGCGUAGUUCGGAAUUACUGGGCGUAAAGCGCGCGUAGGCCGUUGAGUUAGUUAAUUGUGAAAUCCCAAAGCUUAACUUUGGAACUGCAAUUAAAACUGCUCGACUAGAGUUUGAUAGAGGAAAGCGGAAUACAUAGUGUAGAGGUGAAAUUCGUAGAUAUUAUGUAGAACACCAGUUGCGAAGGCGGCUUUCUGGGUCAACACUGACGCUGAGGCGCGAAAGUAUGGGUAGCAAAGAGGAUUAGAUACCCUCGUAGUCCAUACCAUAAACGAUGAUUGCUAGAUGUUGGAAAUUUAUUUUCAGUAUCGCAGCUAACGCAUUAAGCAAUCCGCCUGGGGAGUACGACCGCAAGGUUAAAACUCAAAUGAAUUGACGGGGACCCGCACAAGCGGUGGAGCAUGUGGUUUAAUUCGAAGAUACGCGCAGAANCUUACCAACCCUUGACAUGUCUGUCGCGAGUUUAGGAAACUAGACUUUUCG
RNAcentral lists this ribosomal RNA (630 nucleotides) under uncultured archaeon. RNAcentral's name for it is "bacterial SSU rRNA". It matches the Rfam family "Bacterial small subunit ribosomal RNA", at positions 370 to 1018 of the family's 1533-position model. The record is from RNAcentral.